GAUGAACGCUAGCGGCAGGCCUAACACAUGCAAGUCGAGGGAGAAGCCCUUUCGGGGGCAGAAACCGGCGCACGGGUGCGUAACGCGUAUGCAACCUACCUUUCACAGGGGGAUAGCCCGAAGAAAUUUGGAUUAAUACCCCAUAAUAUUAUUGGAUGGCAUCAUUUGAUAAUUAAAACUGCGGUGGUGAAAGAUGGGCAUGCGUCCUAUUAGCUAGUUGGAGUGUAACGGCACCCCAAGGCUACGAUAGGUAGGGGUCCUGAGAGGGAGAUCCCCCACACUGGUACUGAGACAGGGACCAGACUCCUACGGGAGGCAGCAGUGAGGAAUAUUGGUCAAUGGUCGGAAGACUGAACCAGCCAUGCCGCGUGCAGGAAGAAUGCCUUAUGGGUUGUAAACUGCUUUUAUAUGGGAAGAAUAAGGCGUACGUGUACGUUGAUGACGGUACCAUAUGAAUAAGCAUCGGCUAACUCCGUG
This 477-nucleotide ribosomal RNA is filed under the name uncultured bacterium. RNAcentral describes it as "partial 16S ribosomal RNA". It matches the Rfam family "Bacterial small subunit ribosomal RNA", at positions 28 to 507 of the family's 1533-position model. The record is from RNAcentral.